Molecule: ribosomal RNA, 2922 nt
Filed under: Klebsiella pneumoniae
Lineage: Bacteria; Pseudomonadati; Pseudomonadota; Gammaproteobacteria; Enterobacterales; Enterobacteriaceae
Description: bacterial LSU rRNA
Rfam family: Bacterial large subunit ribosomal RNA
Source: RNAcentral
GGGUUGUGAGGUUAAGCGACUAAGCGUACACGGUGGAUGCCCUGGCAGUCAGAGGCGAUGAAGGACGUGCUAAUCUGCGAAAAGCGUCGGUAAGGUGAUAUGAACCGUUAUAACCGGCGAUGUCCGAAUGGGGAAACCCAGUGCAAUUCGUUGCACUAUCGUUAACUGAAUACAUAGGUUAACGAGGCGAACCGGGGGAACUGAAACAUCUAAGUACCCCGAGGAAAAGAAAUCAACCGAGAUUCCCCCAGUAGCGGCGAGCGAACGGGGAGCAGCCCAGAGUCUGAAUCAGCUUGUGUGUUAGUGGAACGGUCUGGAAAGUCCGACGGUACAGGGUGAUAGUCCCGUACACCAAAAUGCACAGGUUGUGAACUCGAAGAGUAGGGCGGGACACGUGGUAUCCUGUCUGAAUAUGGGGGGACCAUCCUCCAAGGCUAAAUACUCCUGACUGACCGAUAGUGAACCAGUACCGUGAGGGAAAGGCGAAAAGAACCCCGGCGAGGGGAGUGAAAAAGAACCUGAAACCGUGUACGUACAAGCAGUGGGAGCACCUUCGGGUGUGACUGCGUACCUUUUGUAUAAUGGGUCAGCGACUUAUAUUCUGUAGCAAGGUUAACCGUAUAGGGGAGCCGCAGGGAAACCGAGUCUUAACUGGGCGUUAAGUUGCAGGGUAUAGACCCGAAACCCGGUGAUCUAGCCAUGGGCAGGUUGAAGGUUGGGUAACACUAACUGGAGGACCGAACCGACUAAUGUUGAAAAAUUAGCGGAUGACUUGUGGCUGGGGGUGAAAGGCCAAUCAAACCGGGAGAUAGCUGGUUCUCCCCGAAAGCUAUUUAGGUAGCGCCUCGUGAAUUCAUCUUCGGGGUAGAGCACUGUUUCGGCUAGGGGGUCAUCCCGACUUACCAACCCGAUGCAAACUACGAAUACCGAAGAAUGUUAUCACGGGAGACACACGGCGGGUGCUAACGUCCGUCGUGAAGAGGGAAACAACCCAGACCGCCAGCUAAGGUCCCAAAGUCAUGGUUAAGUGGGAAACGAUGUGGGAAGGCACAGACAGCCAGGAUGUUGGCUUAGAAGCAGCCAUCAUUUAAAGAAAGCGUAAUAGCUCACUGGUCGAGUCGGCCUGCGCGGAAGAUGUAACGGGGCUAAACCAUGCACCGAAGCUGCGGCAGCGACACUAUGUGUUGUUGGGUAGGGGAGCGUUCUGUAAGCCUGCGAAGGUGUGCUGUGAGGCAUGCUGGAGGUAUCAGAAGUGCGAAUGCUGACAUAAGUAACGAUAAAGCGGGUGAAAAGCCCGCUCGCCGGAAGACCAAGGGUUCCUGUCCAACGUUAAUCGGGGCAGGGUGAGUCGACCCCUAAGGCGAGGCCGAAAGGCGUAGUCGAUGGGAAACAGGUUAAUAUUCCUGUACUUGGUGUUACUGCGAAGGGGGGACGGAGAAGGCUAUGUUAGCCGGGCGACGGUUGUCCCGGUUUAAGCAUGUAGGCUGAUUAUCCAGGCAAAUCCGGAUAAUCAAGGCUGAGGUGUGAUGACGAGGCACUACGGUGCUGAAGUAACAAAUGCCCUGCUUCCAGGAAAAGCCUCUAAGCAUCAGGUAACAUCAAAUCGUACCCCAAACCGACACAGGUGGUCAGGUAGAGAAUACCAAGGCGCUUGAGAGAACUCGGGUGAAGGAACUAGGCAAAAUGGUGCCGUAACUUCGGGAGAAGGCACGCUGGUGUGUAGGUGAAGCCCCUGCGGGUGGAGCUGAGACCAGUCGAAGAUACCAGCUGGCUGCAACUGUUUAUUAAAAACACAGCACUGUGCAAACACGAAAGUGGACGUAUACGGUGUGACGCCUGCCCGGUGCCGGAAGGUUAAUUGAUGGGGUUAUCCGUAAGGAGAAGCUCUUGAUCGAAGCCCCGGUAAACGGCGGCCGUAACUAUAACGGUCCUAAGGUAGCGAAAUUCCUUGUCGGGUAAGUUCCGACCUGCACGAAUGGCGUAAUGAUGGCCAGGCUGUCUCCACCCGAGACUCAGUGAAAUUGAACUCGCUGUGAAGAUGCAGUGUACCCGCGGCAAGACGGAAAGACCCCGUGAACCUUUACUAUAGCUUGACACUGAACAUUGAGCCUUGAUGUGUAGGAUAGGUGGGAGGCUUUGAAGCGUGGACGCCAGUCUGCGUGGAGCCAACCUUGAAAUACCACCCUUUAAUGUUUGAUGUUCUAACGUUGGCCCCUUACCGGGGUUGCGGACAGUGUCUGGUGGGUAGUUUGACUGGGGCGGUCUCCUCCCAAAGCGUAACGGAGGAGCACGAAGGUUAGCUAAUCCUGGUCGGACAUCAGGAGGUUAGUGCAAUGGCAUAAGCUAGCUUGACUGCGAGCGUGACGGCGCGAGCAGGUGCGAAAGCAGGUCAUAGUGAUCCGGUGGUUCUGAAUGGAAGGGCCAUCGCUCAACGGAUAAAAGGUACUCCGGGGAUAACAGGCUGAUACCGCCCAAGAGUUCAUAUCGACGGCGGUGUUUGGCACCUCGAUGUCGGCUCAUCACAUCCUGGGGCUGAAGUAGGUCCCAAGGGUAUGGCUGUUCGCCAUUUAAAGUGGUACGCGAGCUGGGUUUAGAACGUCGUGAGACAGUUCGGUCCCUAUCUGCCGUGGGCGCUGGAGAAUUGAGGGGGGCUGCUCCUAGUACGAGAGGACCGGAGUGGACGCAUCACUGGUGUUCGGGUUGUCAUGCCAAUGGCACUGCCCGGUAGCUAAAUGCGGAAGAGAUAAGUGCUGAAAGCAUCUAAGCACGAAACUUGCCCCGAGAUGAGUUCUCCCUGAGACUUUAAGUCUCCUGAAGGAACGUUGAAGACGACGACGUUGAUAGGCCGGGUGUGUAAGCGCAGCGAUGCGUUGAGCUAACCGGUACUAAUGAACCGUGAGGCUUAACCUUACAACGCCGAAG